GCGAACGCUGGGGGUUCGUUUUAACACAUGCAAGUUGAACGGGGAAUUGUUUGGUGUCAAAUUUUCCGUAGCAGACGGGUGCAAAACGCGUAAGAAUCUACCCUUGAGUGUACGUGGUAUCGGUUUACACCGUCUACCUUAAAUCUCAACCUUAAUAUUUGAAAGUCGGGUUAGGCGAGGGAUAAUUGUUGGAAGCGACUUGUAAUACCUCAUAADCCGAGAGGUGAAAGGCCCGAACUUUAGGUCGCCAAAGGAUGAGCUUGCGUCCGAUUAGCUAGUUGGUGAGGUAAGAGCUUACCAAGGCCACGAUCAGUUGCUGGUUUGAGAGAACGAUCAGCCACAUCGGGACUGAGACACGGCCCGGACUCUUUCGAGGGGCAGCAGUGAGGAAUCUUCCGCAAUGAGCGAAAGCUUGACGGAGCGAUACCCUGUGGGGGACGACCGAUCAUAAGAUUUGUAAACCUCUUUUAUUAACGAAGAAGCUUUGACUGUACGUAAUGAACUAAGCAUCGGCUAACUCCGUGCCAGCAGCCGCGGUAAUACGGGGGAUGCAAGCGUUGUCCAGUUUUAUUGGGCGUAAGGCGCCUGUCGGUUGCCCUACAAGUCCGUUGUUAAAGGUCACAGCUUAACUGUGGAAAAGCAAUUGAAACUGUGGGGCUAGAGGAUGGCUGGGGUAGAGAGAAUUUCUAGUGGAGCGGUAAAAUGCGUAGAUAUUAGAAGGAACACCAGCGGCGAAGGCGCUCUACUGGACCAUUUCUGACACUUAAGGGCGAAAGCUGGGGGAGCAAAAAGGAUUAGGUACCCUUGUAGUCCCAGCCGUAAACGAUGGAUACUAGAUGUUGCACAAUUCUUUUCGGGGCAAAACCAAAGUUAGCAUUGGAGUGUGCGAGAUUUGCGUARUGGCUUAUGAAUUUUAGAGAUCAUGUUUGCAGUAUCGUAGCUAACGCGUUAAGUAUCCCGUCUGGGGAGUACGCUCGCAAGGGUGAAACUCAAAGGAAUUGGCGGGAGCCCUCGCWAGCGRUGGAGCAUGCGGUUUAAUUCGAUGCAACACGAAGAACCUUACCUAGGCUUGACAACCUGCAGGUUCNGUUGAAAAAAUGUGAAACUUAAAGCAGACUUCCAAGAUGUCGUUCUUGGGAGCAGCAGGCACAGGUGGUGCAUGGCUGUCGUCAGUUCGUGUCG
This 1182-nucleotide ribosomal RNA is filed under the name Asterodinium gracile. RNAcentral's name for it is "bacterial SSU rRNA". It matches the Rfam family "Bacterial small subunit ribosomal RNA", at positions 29 to 1067 of the family's 1533-position model. Lineage: Eukaryota; Dinophyceae; Gymnodiniales; Brachidiniaceae. The record is from RNAcentral.